This 505-nucleotide ribosomal RNA is filed under the name uncultured bacterium. Its description in RNAcentral is "partial 16S ribosomal RNA". It matches the Rfam family "Bacterial small subunit ribosomal RNA", at positions 28 to 507 of the family's 1533-position model. The record is from RNAcentral.
GACGAACGCUGGCGGCGUGCCUAAUACAUGCAAGUAGAACGCACAGUUUAUACCGUAGCUUGCUACACCAUAGACUGUGAGUUGCGAACGGGUGAGUAACGCGUAGGUAACCUGCCUGGUAGCGGGGGAUAACUCUUGAGCACGUUAGCUAAUACCGCAUAAUAUUCAUUAUUGCUUGAUAAUUAAUUCAAAGGUGCAAUUGCACCACUACCAGAUGUUCCUGCGUUGUAUUAGCUAGUAGGUGAGGUAACGGCUCACCUAGGCGACGAUACAUAGCCGACCUGAGAGGGUGAUCGGCCACACUGGGACUGAGACACGGCCCAGACUCCUACGGGAGGCAGCAGUAGGGAAUCUUCGGCAAUGGAGGAAAGUCUGACCGAGCAACGCCGCGUGAGUGAAGAAGGUUUUCGGAUCGUAAAGCUCUGUUGUAAGAGAAGAACGGGUGUGAGAGUGGAAAGUUCACACUGUGACGGUAGCUUACCAGAAAGGGACGGCUAACUACGUG